UGCAGAUUCUUAGAGAUAUCACAGGCAGAAAUAUCAGAUAAAAUAAGUAAACUGCCUUCUCAUCAUAACAGUCUUCUUUUUGUGGGUGUCUGGGCACAGCCAAGAAUCAACUGUAGGCAUCUGUAUCAGAACUCCAAAGAGAUGAGAAGAUUGCUAUGUGAGAUGCUGUUUAUCCCUGGUGAAGGAGGUGAUUCCUGGACAAGGAAAGAGCAAUUUGAUAGGGACUUGGAUUUGUAAGGGAAAGAACACCUCCAAGGAUGAAGAUUCCUGAUCCUCUGCAGAUACCUGUGAUAAAGUUCUGGUCGUUCUCAUGGCAAAAAAUAAUUUCCUUAUGAACCAUUGGCCCCCAGCUACACCAGGCUGAAUGAUGUCUCUCAAGCCACAGGAAUCCCACCACAGAGGACUCCUGCCCUGGACCAUGUAAUAAAAGGGAACUACAUGGAAGUGAACUCUUGGAUGGAACAGGACACUGUGGGUGCUUUUCCGGGCAUCUUACAUCAUGUGGUGAAUGUCCUUCUUAACUUUCUACAA
This is a long non-coding RNA of Hirundo rustica (Barn swallow), 531 nucleotides long. RefSeq lists it as uncharacterized. The transcript is spliced from 4 exons. Lineage: Eukaryota; Metazoa; Chordata; Aves; Passeriformes; Hirundinidae. The record is from RefSeq and is a predicted model, not a curated record.